Molecule: transfer RNA, 70 nt
Filed under: Bannacoris arboreus
Lineage: Eukaryota; Metazoa; Arthropoda; Insecta; Hemiptera; Urostylididae
Description: tRNA-Gln
Rfam family: tRNA
About the family: Transfer RNA (tRNA) molecules are approximately 80 nucleotides in length. Their secondary structure includes four short double-helical elements and three loops (D, anti-codon, and T loops).
Source: RNAcentral
UGUAUUAUAGUGUAUUGAAGCACAUAAAGGUUUGAUCUUUAUAGUAUUGGUUUAAUUCCAAUUAAUUCAA